UUAUUGGAGAGUUUGAUCCUGGCUCAGGAUGAACGCUGGCGGCGUGCCUAAUACAUGCAAGUCGAGCGAACGGAUUAAGAGCUUGCUCUUAUGAAGUUAGCGGCGGACGGGUGAGUAACACGUGGGUAACCUGCCCAUAAGACUGGGAUAACUCCGGGAAACCGGGGCUAAUACCGGAUAACAUUUUGAACCGCAUGGUUCGAAAUUGAAAGGCGGCUUCGGCUGUCACUUAUGGAUGGACCCGCGUCGCAUUAGCUAGUUGGUGAGGUAACGGCUCACCAAGGCAACGAUGCGUAGCCGACCUGAGAGGGUGAUCGGCCACAC
RNAcentral lists this ribosomal RNA (324 nucleotides) under Bacillus paranthracis. Its description in RNAcentral is "bacterial SSU rRNA". It matches the Rfam family "Bacterial small subunit ribosomal RNA", at positions 1 to 313 of the family's 1533-position model. The record is from RNAcentral. Lineage: Bacteria; Bacillati; Bacillota; Bacilli; Caryophanales; Bacillaceae.